RNAcentral lists this microRNA precursor (95 nucleotides) under Chlorocebus sabaeus (green monkey). RNAcentral's name for it is "miRNA (ENSCSAG00000022222.1)". Lineage: Eukaryota; Metazoa; Chordata; Mammalia; Primates; Cercopithecidae. The record is from RNAcentral.
CGCCCACCUCGGCCUCCCAAAGUGCUGGGAUUACAGGCAUGAGCCACUGCGCCCGGCCUGUCCUGGCUCUUAUCUGAAGCCAGUCUCUCCACUUG